This 400-nucleotide ribosomal RNA is filed under the name uncultured bacterium. RNAcentral describes it as "bacterial SSU rRNA". It matches the Rfam family "Bacterial small subunit ribosomal RNA", at positions 362 to 776 of the family's 1533-position model. The record is from RNAcentral.
UAUUGGGCAAUGGGCGCAAGCCUGACCCAGCAACGCCGCGUGAAGGAAGAAGGCUUUUGGGUUGUAAACUUUUUUUCUUAGGGAUGAAGCAAGUGACGGUACCUGAGGAAUAAGCCACGGCUAACUACGUGUCAGCUGCCGCGGUAAUACGUAGGUGGCAAGCGUUAUCCGGAUUUACGGGGUGUAAAGGGCGUGUAGGCGGGAAAGCAAGUCAGAUGUGAAAACCAUGGGCUCAACCUGUGGCCUGCAUUUGAAACUGUUUUUCUUGAGUACUGGAGAGGCAGACGGAAUUCCUAGUGUAGCGGUGAAAUGCGUAGAUAUUAGGAGGAACACCAGUGGCGAAGGCGGUCUGCUGGACAGCAACUGACGCUGAGGCGCGAAAGCGUGGGGAGCAAACAGG